Molecule: non-coding RNA, 1787 nt
Organism: Physcomitrium patens
Lineage: Eukaryota; Viridiplantae; Streptophyta; Bryopsida; Funariales; Funariaceae
Source: RefSeq, a predicted model, not a curated record
AUUUUAAUUGCAAAGGUCCACUAUAAAACCUCCCUUCUUGAUUGCCGUGGCAACUAAGCACAUGCUGGUUUGUUGCAUCCCAUUGAGAGAGAGAGAAUCAGUCAGCUUGAAGCUGUAAUGACUGUAAUGCCGCAGGAACACGCCAAUGCUUGCUUGCUUGGUCAUGGCUUGUUUUUUUUUGCCUUUGACCAGAUCGGAGCUCUUCCUCAUCGUCCUCCUUACAUGGGCUGCUGCUGCACCACAAAGCGUAGACUCCGACCUCAGCACCAUAAUAAGCAUCGCACUGCGCUGCCAUGUACUCACAGCAGGCCGCGAGCUGCGAGCCACACCCGUGGGAGAUCCACGUUGCGGCGGUUCCCUAUUGUGGUUCUCAUCCGCCUCCUAGUUGAGAAGCCUAAGUUUGCCAGAAUGCUAUCUAGCGUCACUUGCAGGCGGAGGCGACGCCUUGAAAGGCUCUGAUCGGGAUGGAGUGACAGGGAGGAUGCGGAUGCAGGAAGUUGGGGGGCUAUGUCCCGAUUCCGAUGCAUGAUUGUGGAAGAUCUCAGUUGUGUUUUUGGCUGAUUCCGUCCGGGGCAUGGGGAAAUUUUGGGGCUUCAGGGUGGGAGAAGUGGGCUCUCACUUGCAUGCGUCGGGAAUCGGAUCCCUUGUGCCCCGGCAACGGAACUCCCAAUCCCUCCUUUUCACCCUUCGAGCAACAUUGCAACACUGCGUGUUCCUCAUGUCCCCAUUCUCGAAUUGCUUACAAUUAUUUGAAUCAGCGGUACUGUUCACUUUGAACAGUACAUCGAUUGAUGGCCAAACUGGGACUUUACGUGUCGCUUGUUCAAUUUAACAACGUUAUGUACCAGCUUUGCAAGUAAUCGGUCGAAAAGCGGAGUGGACAGAAGAAGAGAAGCUGGACUCUAGUUUUUUUUAUCCUUUUAACUUGUGCAGGAAAACUCUAUUACCACCCUGCGGCGGCGUUUGAUUGAAGCAUAUAAUUAGAUUCAGGAGGACCCCACCAGUGGGUUGGAUUGCCAGGGGGUUGCGUUGAUUAGUAGGGAGACCAGACUACUAUUAUCCCAGAGACGCGGCAGCAGAGUUAUGAGCUUCCCCAACAUGAAACAUGGCUUUCCUUGGAAAAGGCGAAAUGCGAGGAGUAUGCCCCCCCACAAUUAGCCAGUCUACCCCCAUCCCUUCUCAUCGUGCGCCUCCGCCAUCAAGUGCUGGUCUAUAUGCAUCAAAUGCCGGUCUACAUACACCAAGACUAGCAAACAAUGCACCGACUUUGCGGCAAUUUUUACUUGUCCUAGUGUUAACAAGGGGGUCAUAUCUUGCGCGGGUCAUAUCUUGCGAAUGUUGAGGAGCGAUGGAGAACCUUAUUGAUUGCAGUGUGAAGAAAGUUGAGGACACAGAGGUGUUGUUCGAAGCACUGUGCAUACGAGAACACUGUGUCCACUGACUGGAGGGAACUGUAAAUUCGUUAAGUUCGUUGAUCGAAGAGGAAACAUAUAAACUAAGUACUGUGAUGGGAACUCUUGGGAUUAAUAGGCAACAAUGUCAUGUUGAAGAAGGGUGCUAAUCCUAAGGGUAAGAGUAGCUGCUAACAUCCCCUUCCGCUUGCAACCCUUCUUUUGCCUAGUGAUGAUAGAUUGAGCUAGUCAACUUUAGGAUUUAUCACCAGUGAGUUGUUGUUCUAGGCUAGUUACAUUGUUGGAUGUCCAAUCUAUUUUUCAUGAGCUAAUCAAGUGAUUGGAAUGAAGACAUGCACAAGUUAUAUGCACAAGUUAUUAUCUAAUUUUGGUCAA